ACAUACGACCAUAGACUCAAGAGAAUUGGGCAUCCCGUCCGCUCUGCCAUACACAAGCUUGAGAUCGGUGGAUUAGUAGUUGGGUGGGUGACCACCAGCGAAUACCCACUGUUGUAUGUU
Pseudogymnoascus sp. 23342-1-I1 is the source of this 120-nucleotide ribosomal RNA. The record is from Rfam. NCBI's taxonomy places the organism in Eukaryota, Fungi, Ascomycota, Leotiomycetes, Thelebolales, Thelebolaceae.